GGUUCUAUGGUGUAACGGUAGCACAAGAGAUUUUGGUUCUCUUAGAGAUUGUUCGAUUCAGUCUAGAACUA
RNAcentral lists this transfer RNA (71 nucleotides) under Caudoviricetes sp. RNAcentral describes it as "tRNA-Gln". It matches the Rfam family "tRNA". Rfam says of the family: Transfer RNA (tRNA) molecules are approximately 80 nucleotides in length. The record is from RNAcentral. Lineage: Duplodnaviria; Heunggongvirae; Uroviricota; Caudoviricetes.